RNAcentral lists this transfer RNA (74 nucleotides) under bacterium. Its description in RNAcentral is "tRNA-Gly". It matches the Rfam family "tRNA". Rfam says of the family: Transfer RNA (tRNA) molecules are approximately 80 nucleotides in length. The record is from RNAcentral.
GCGGGAUUAGUUAAAUGGUAUAAUAACGGUUUUCCAAACCGUGGUCAGGAGUUCGAUUCUCCUAUCCCGCACCA